This 646-nucleotide ribosomal RNA is filed under the name uncultured Haplosporidia. RNAcentral describes it as "SSU rRNA". It matches the Rfam family "Eukaryotic small subunit ribosomal RNA", at positions 1109 to 1799 of the family's 1831-position model. The record is from RNAcentral. Lineage: Eukaryota; Endomyxa; Ascetosporea; Haplosporida.
GGACUCGGGGGGAAGUAUGCUCGCAAGAGUGAAACUUAAAGGAAUUGACGGAAAGGCACCACCAGGCGUGGAGCCUGCGGCUUAAUUUGAUUCAACACGGGAAAACUUACCAGGUCCAGACAUAGCAAUGAUUGACAGACUGAAGGUCUUUCUUGAUUCUAUGCAUGGUGGUGCAUGGCCGUUCUUAGUCGGUGGAAUGAUUUGUCUGGUUAAUUCCGAUAACGGACGAGACCUCAGCCAUCUAAAUAGCUGUUGCUUAUAAUUUUACCAUAUGCACAGCUUCUUAGAGGGACAAUCUGUGGCCAGCAGAAGGAAGUUUGAGGCAAUAACAGGUCAGUGAUGCCCUUAGAAGCUCUGGGCCGCACGCGGGCUACAAUGGCGCUUUCAGAUAGUAAUGCUCUUGAGAGCUAUUCAACCUUGAAAAUGCGUCUUAGUUGGGAUAGAUGAUUGUAAUUAUUCAUCUUGAACCAGGAAUGUCUAGUAAACGCAAGUCAUCAACUUGCAUUGGCUACGUCCCUGCCUUUUGUACACACCGCCCGUCGCUCCUACCGAUUGAAUAGUCCGGUGAACAUGGUGGAUGAUGCCUCUUCGGCAACAGAAGCUUUGUGAACCUUAUUAUUUAGAGGAAGAACAAGUCGUAACAAGG